Molecule: long non-coding RNA, 524 nt
Organism: Magallana angulata
Lineage: Eukaryota; Metazoa; Mollusca; Bivalvia; Ostreida; Ostreidae
Exons: 3
Source: RefSeq, a predicted model, not a curated record
UGCAUGUAAUCUGUAAAAAGGUUGUUCCUCUUCUGACGUUUAUGGAGAAAACUGUAAUAAAGUCUGUCCAGACAACUGUCAGGGACGUAGAUGUGAUAUCAUUAAUGGGACCUGUUUAAGCUGCACACCUGGCUGGUUAGGAGUACACUGUGACAAAGGUUGUGUAGUUGGAAUGUUUGGUAAAGGUUGCAGCAACCAGUGCAGUGGAAACUGUCUAGAUAACAAUCCAUGCAAUUCAACAACUGGGCACUGUGAUGAUGGAUGUGAUUCAGGAUAUGUAGAACCUUUUUGCAACAAAAGUUGUGAAAUCGGAACGUUUGGUAAAGGUUGCAGCAACAAGUGCAGUGGACACUGUCUAGAUAACGGUCCUUGCAAUUCAACAACUGGGCACUGUGAUAGUGGUUGUGCUUCGGGAUACGAAGAGCCUUUCUGCAACAAAAGUAUGAAUGUUAUCAAUUUUUAUUUUAUCAAUUAAUUCAUUGCAUCAUUGCAUGCGUUAAUUAAGUAGGCCGACUUAAGUUUUC